Molecule: transfer RNA, 75 nt
Filed under: Pseudomonas sp. CF161
Lineage: Bacteria; Pseudomonadati; Pseudomonadota; Gammaproteobacteria; Pseudomonadales; Pseudomonadaceae
Also listed under: 1 other name
Description: tRNA-OTHER
Source: RNAcentral
GGAGCGGUUAGCCAGCCGGUUAGAAUAUCGGCUCACGCCGGGGGUCGCAGGUUCGAGCCUCCGACCGCUCCGCCA